GACGGAUGGGCUGGGACGGGUUUUGGGGGGGUGUCCCCAAUUCUGACUGGGAGUGGAGGAACCCCUCCUGAGAUCUCUUGUGGGGGUGCCCCCUCCCCAGGGCACUCCCCAGUCCCUGAGCCAGCCGAGAGGAAGGAGGCCAGCGAUGCGACUGGGGCGGCUCCUUUCUCCUGCACCCCAAAUGUGAGGGAUGCACCCUAAAUUUUGCUCUUUUCAAAAUAGGGGACCAGGAUCUCAGGGGAGAGUAGCUGAGGCCUUGCUCGGAGUCCCAGGAGAUCCACAGGUCCGGCAUGAACAGUGAGAGGUCAGAGGUGGAAGGCUCAGCAGGAGAGGAGAGGAGGAUCAGCAGAGGUCAUGAGAAGGCCAGAAUCCAGGGUCAGGCUGUCUGGAACAGGAAGUAAAAUGGGCCGAGAUGGAGCGAGCCCCCAGUGUGCUUCCAAGGCCACUCCCACCUCCCUGAAACACCCUGCUACGUACUGAUCCAAUGCCCUGCGCUGUGUAUGAGAGCACCUUCUCUUCUGAAACCCCUAUACAAGGGAGGGGCCCCUGCGGAGACCGUGCCCUGCCAUCCAGUCCUCAAGGGGAUUCUAAAAAACUAGUGACAAAGUAGGGAAGCAGCUGAGCUGGAAAGGAGUUCUGAGGACGAUGGAACCUUGGGUAAGGAGGAAGAAGGCUGCCCACCCGCCCUUUUCUGGCAGCCACCCUCCCUCACACUGUCCGUUCCUUGAUGACACAGCUGAUGUGAUUAAGAUCGUCCCCAAAUCGCUUCA
RNAcentral lists this non-coding RNA (770 nucleotides) under Pan troglodytes (chimpanzee). Lineage: Eukaryota; Metazoa; Chordata; Mammalia; Primates; Hominidae. The record is from RNAcentral. RNAcentral also lists the same sequence under 1 other name.